GUGCCAGCCGCCGCGGUAAUACGGAGGGUGCAAGCGUUAUCCGGAUUCACUGGGUUUAAAGGGUGCGUAGGUGGGUUGGUAAGUCAGUGGUGAAAUCUCCAGGCUUAACUUGGAAACUGCCAUUGAUACUAUCAGUCUUGAAUACCGUGGAGAUGAGCGGAAUAUGUCAUGUAGCGGUGAAAUGCUUAGAUAUGACAUAGAACACCAAUUGCGAAGGCAGCUCGUUACACGAAUAUUGACACUGAUGCACGAAAGCGUGGGGAUCAAACAGGAUUAGAAACCCGGGUAGUCC
This 292-nucleotide ribosomal RNA is filed under the name uncultured bacterium. Its description in RNAcentral is "partial 16S ribosomal RNA". It matches the Rfam family "Bacterial small subunit ribosomal RNA", at positions 505 to 796 of the family's 1533-position model. The record is from RNAcentral.